Molecule: long non-coding RNA, 1218 nt
Filed under: Capsella rubella
Lineage: Eukaryota; Viridiplantae; Streptophyta; Magnoliopsida; Brassicales; Brassicaceae
Description: long non-coding RNA (CRUB_LNC002724)
Source: RNAcentral
AGAAGGAUUUGAGGUGAAGCUGAGGAUUCAUGAGAAGUGUCAAGACUGUAAAUCCACUGGUGGAAUCUGCUCCUACAAUGAUUCCACUCCAGUUUGCUGCAAGACAAACUUGUCAUCAGACACCAAAUGCAUUCCAAUGAUUCCAUCUGGUUCGACUGGUAAGUUAUACCAAACUCUCUCAGCAAGUUUCUUAAAUUAUGCAUAACUAUUCCGAUGCAACUUAGACUAAAAACAGAAAAUAACGGAUUGCUCAAAAAUCUGAACAAGACUAGUCUGCAGCCUCUUUAGUUCCACUAUGACACACACUAAAACUAAAAUCCCUUAAGUUCUGCAAAUGGCUUAAACUCCAGGCAUAUACCACAUCCUAAUCACCAAGAACCACAGCUAACACUACAUUUUCCGCAGUCCCUCUUAAAACAGUUUUCUUUCUUUUCAAUCUUUCUCUUUUGGUUUCACCAAUGUUAAGACAUAACUAACUUCUUAGUGAGCUCAAGAGGGAAGACAGUAAACUUGAGUAGUCUAAAAGUCUUUAUCUAUCUCCAAGCAACUUGACAUAAACAACUCCCAUCAAGUCAUUUUCAGGGUACGAAAGUCUUCCAUGCAAUGAAAUUGUCUCCUUCCUUUAUCACAAAUCUUCAGACUCUUUUUCCAUGGACCAUGGUAAAAUACUAAAAGAGUCUUUGUCUUGUUACUUAUUCAUUUCUUCAUUCUCUCCACAUAUCUUUAAAUGCCUUCACAUUUGUCUGAAACUGAUAAAGAAAAUGGCAAUUACGGUCAAAGUCUUUCUUCUUUCUUUUGGAGACUUUCCUCAUAAGUGUAGAUCUAUCCCCAUUUCUACUUUGCUUCCGGUAAAUUUCAGUAAAUUUCUUGCACCGGGACUUUGUUUUAGGCCUUAGUCCUACAAAAAGAAAGAGAAAAAAAGAAACUAAUAUAUUAAUAAAAUCUUCUUAAAUAGUUGAAUAUCAUGAUUCUCUUGUCUACAAGUCUAUUCCAAGACUUAGUCAUCAUCCUAACCCACCUACUUCCAAAGAAAUUUCCCUGUUGAAAUAUACUAUGAGAUAAACAACUAUAAAGAAAAAGAAACCUUACCUUAGUUUUCUUUUCUUUAUAUAAAACCAAGACUUACACAAAAUCAACAAUUCACAAAUUCCUCAUCUGCUUUUUUACUUCCUCUUUCUUCUUCAGUUCUUCUUCAUCUUCUUAUUCAUCAUCUCCAAG